GGGGGAGCAAGCGUUGUUCGGAUUUACUGGGCGUAAAGGGCGCGUAGGCGGUCAGCACAAGUCAGUUGUGAAAUCUCCGGGCUUAACUCGGAAAGGUCAACUGAUACUGUGCGACUAGAGUGCAGAAGGGGCAACUGGAAUUCUCGGUGUAGCGGUGAAAUGCGUAGAUAUCGAGAGGAACACCUGCGGCGAAGGCGGGUUGCUGGGCUGACACUGACGCUGAUGCGCGAAAGCCAGGGGAGCGAACGGGAUUAGAUACCCCGGUAGUCCUGGCCUUAAACGAUGGAUGCUUGGUGUCUGGAGUUAUAUAGUCUCCGGGUGCCGCAGCUAACGCGUUAAGCAUCCCGCCUGGGGAGUACGGUCGCAAGACUG
RNAcentral lists this ribosomal RNA (372 nucleotides) under uncultured organism. Its description in RNAcentral is "bacterial SSU rRNA". It matches the Rfam family "Bacterial small subunit ribosomal RNA", at positions 528 to 896 of the family's 1533-position model. The record is from RNAcentral.